UGAAACACGGAGCAAUCUGUGGCUUACAGAUGGGCCUGCGGCGCAUUAGCUAGUUGGUGAGGUAACGGCUCACCAAGGCGACGAUGCGUAGCCGACCUGAGAGGGUGAUCGGCCACACUGGGACUGAGACACGGCCCAGACUCCUACGGGAGGCAGCAGUAGGGAAUCUUCCGCAAUGGACGCAAGUCUGACGGAGCAACGCCGCGUGAGUGAUGAAGGUUUUCGGAUCGUAAAGCUCUGUUGCCAGGGAAGAAUGCUAAGGAGAGUAACUGCUCUUUAGGUGACGGUACCUGAGAAGAAAGCCCCGGCUAACUACGUGCCAGCAGCCGCGGUAAUACGUAGGGGGCAAGCGUUGUCCGGAAUUAUUGGGCGUAAAGCGCGCGCAGGCGGUCAUUUAAGUUUGGUGUUUAAUUCCGGGGCUCAACCCCGGGUCGCACUG
This 439-nucleotide ribosomal RNA is filed under the name Paenibacillus sp. MUU16. Its description in RNAcentral is "bacterial SSU rRNA". It matches the Rfam family "Bacterial small subunit ribosomal RNA", at positions 201 to 628 of the family's 1533-position model. Lineage: Bacteria; Bacillati; Bacillota; Bacilli; Caryophanales; Paenibacillaceae. The record is from RNAcentral.